UACGGGGGGAGCAAGCGUUGUUCGGAUUUACUGGGCGUAAAGGGCGCGUAAGCGGCGUGACAAGUCACUUGUGAAAUCUCCGGGCUUAACUCGGAACGGUCAAGUGAUACUGUCGUGCUAGAGUACAGAAGGGGCAACUGGAAUUCUCGGUGUAGCGGUGAAAUGCGUAGAUAUCGAGAGGAACACCUGCGGCGAAGGCGGGUUGCUGGGCUGAUACUGACGCUGAGGCACGAAAGCCAGGGUAGCGAACGGG
RNAcentral lists this ribosomal RNA (253 nucleotides) under uncultured bacterium. Its description in RNAcentral is "partial 16S ribosomal RNA". It matches the Rfam family "Bacterial small subunit ribosomal RNA", at positions 524 to 776 of the family's 1533-position model. The record is from RNAcentral.